This 430-nucleotide ribosomal RNA is filed under the name uncultured bacterium. RNAcentral's name for it is "bacterial SSU rRNA". It matches the Rfam family "Bacterial small subunit ribosomal RNA", at positions 354 to 777 of the family's 1533-position model. The record is from RNAcentral.
GUGGGGAAUCUUCCGCAAUGGGCGAAAGCCUGACGGAGCAACGCCGCGUGAUCGAAUGAAGGCCUUCGGGUCGUAAAGAUCUGUUGACAGGGACGAAUAAGCCAUGCGAACAGUUUGGUGUAUGACGGUACCUGUUUAGAAAGCUCCGGCUAACUACGUGCCAGCAGCCGCGGUAAUACGUAGGGAGCAAGCGUUGUCCGGAAUUACUGGGCGUAAAGGGCGCGUAGGUGGGCGCUUAAGUCAGGUGUGAAAACUCCGGGCUCAACCUGGAGACUGCACUUGAAACUGGGUGUCUUGAGGGCAGGAGAGGAAAGUGGAAUUCCUAGUGUAGCGGUGAAAUGCGUAGAUAUUAGGAGGAACACCAGUGGCGAAGGCGACUUUCUGGACUGUACCUGACGCUGAGGCGCGAAAGCGUGGGUAGCGAACGGGA